UACGGGAGGCAGCAGUAGGGAAUCUUCCGCAAUGGACGAAAGUCUGACGGAGCAACGCCGCGUGAACGAUGAAGGCUUUCGGGUCGUAAAGUUCUGUUGUUAGGGAAGAACAAGUACCGGAGUAACUGCCGGUACCUUGACGGUACCUAACCAGAAAGCCACGGCUAACUACGUGCCAGCAGCCGCGGUAAUACGUAGGUGGCAAGCGUUGUCCGGAAUUAUUGGGCGUAAAGCGCGCGCAGGCGGUCCUUUAAGUCUGAUGUGAAAGCCCACGGCUCAACCGUGGAGGGUCAUUGGAAACUGGGGACUUGAGUGCAGAAGAGGAGAGUGGAAUUCCACGUGUAGCGGUGAAAUGCGUAGAGAUGUGGAGGAACACCAGUGGCGAAGGCGACUCUCUGGUCUGUAACUGACGCUGAGGCGCGAAAGCGUGGGAGCGAACAGGAUUAGAUACC
RNAcentral lists this ribosomal RNA (452 nucleotides) under uncultured bacterium. RNAcentral's name for it is "bacterial SSU rRNA". It matches the Rfam family "Bacterial small subunit ribosomal RNA", at positions 340 to 786 of the family's 1533-position model. The record is from RNAcentral.